GUGGAUUAGAUACCCUGGUAGUCCACGCCCUAAACGAUGAAUACUCGAUGUUAGCGAUAUACAGUUAGCGUCAAAGCGAAAGCGUUAAGUAUUCCACCUGGGGAGUACGCCCGCAAGGGUGAAACUCAAAGGAAUUGACGGGGGCCCGCACAAGCGGAGGAGCAUGUGGUUUAAUUCGAUGAUACGCGAGGAACCUUACCCGGGCUUGAAAGUUAGUGAAUUGAGCAGAGACGCUCAAGUCCUUCGGGACACGAAACUAGGUGCUGCACGGCCGUCGCCAACU
This 283-nucleotide ribosomal RNA is filed under the name uncultured bacterium. RNAcentral's name for it is "partial 16S ribosomal RNA". It matches the Rfam family "Bacterial small subunit ribosomal RNA", at positions 773 to 1060 of the family's 1533-position model. The record is from RNAcentral.